ACUACAAACCGGGCUAUCGCCCUCCCGACUUGUCGGGAGGGAGGAAAGUCUGGACAGCAUAGGGCAAUGUACCGGUGAACAGCCGGGUCUUUCCUGAUUCGUUGGGAGGGAACAGACAGUGCCACAGAAAAUUACAGCUUUCAUCCGCCUACUCCGCCAGCUGGCGGAGCAGGCGGACUAGUCCCGAUUAAUCGGGAGAGUGAUGGUGAAAACGUGGGGUAAGAGCCCACGGCUCUGGCAGGUGACUGCCGGGGCGGGUAAACCUUGCAUGCUGAAAUGCCAUGUAUACCAGCGUUGAAGGGCGGCUCGUCCGAAUUCCUGCAAAGGAUACGUUGGGUGGGUAGGCAGAAUGAUCCAGUCAGUAAUGGCUGGACAAGAUAAAUGAUAGCCUCCCGAACUUGUCUUGGCUAGCCAAGACAAGUUCGGGAUACAAAAUCCGGCUUACAGGUUUGUAGUUAUU
Molecule: RNase P RNA, 460 nt
Filed under: Niastella koreensis
Lineage: Bacteria; Pseudomonadati; Bacteroidota; Chitinophagia; Chitinophagales; Chitinophagaceae
Also listed under: 1 other name
Description: RNase P RNA component class A
Rfam family: Bacterial RNase P class A
About the family: Ribonuclease P (RNase P) is a ubiquitous endoribonuclease, found in archaea, bacteria and eukarya as well as chloroplasts and mitochondria. Its best characterised activity is the generation of mature 5'-ends of tRNAs by cleaving the 5'-leader elements of precursor-tRNAs.
Source: RNAcentral